CCUACGGGAGGCAGCAGUGAGGAAUAUUGGUCAAUGGCCGUAAGGCUGAACCAGCCAAGUCGCGUGAAGGACGAAGGUUCCAAGGAUUGUAAACUUCUUUUAUCAAGGGAUAAAAGUAGCCACGAGAGCCUAAUCGAGGGUACCCUAAGAAUAAGCAUCGGCUAACUCCGUGCCAGCAGCCGCGGUAAUACGGAGGAUGCGAGCGUUAUCCGGAUUUAUUGGGUUUAAAGGGUGCGUAGGUGGUUUUUUAAGUCAGCGGUGAAAGGUAGUGGCUCAACCAUCGGUGUGCCGUUGAAACUGGCAGUCUUGAGAUGUCGAGAGGUAUGCGGAAUGCGUGGUGUAGCGGUGAAAUGCUUAGAUAUUGCGCAGAACUCCGAUUGCGAAGGCAGCAUACUGGCGGCUAUCUGACACUGAGGCACGAAAGCGUGGGGAUCGAACAGGAUUAGAUACCCUUGUAGUC
RNAcentral lists this ribosomal RNA (460 nucleotides) under uncultured bacterium. RNAcentral's name for it is "partial 16S ribosomal RNA". It matches the Rfam family "Bacterial small subunit ribosomal RNA", at positions 338 to 795 of the family's 1533-position model. The record is from RNAcentral.